AGUAGAGAAGUGAUUUGCUGUUGGAUAGAAGUAUCCACACCUCCAAAGUACACUGAACUUUUACUAAGAUUAGCUUUUAGUCCAGAUGCAUCAGUGAAAUAAGAGAAAUACUGGAACAUAACUUCUACUGAUCUGUAUUCCUCUUUGACAAACAACAACAGAUCAUCAGCAAAACUGAGGUGAGUAAUACCUAGUCUUUUGCAUC
Molecule: long non-coding RNA, 205 nt
Filed under: Nicotiana benthamiana
Lineage: Eukaryota; Viridiplantae; Streptophyta; Magnoliopsida; Solanales; Solanaceae
Description: long non-coding RNA (NBEN_LNC000186)
Source: RNAcentral